RNAcentral lists this ribosomal RNA (429 nucleotides) under Chloroflexota bacterium. RNAcentral describes it as "Chloroflexi bacterium partial 16S ribosomal RNA". It matches the Rfam family "Bacterial small subunit ribosomal RNA", at positions 355 to 776 of the family's 1533-position model. The record is from RNAcentral. Lineage: Bacteria; Bacillati; Chloroflexota.
UGGGGAAUAUUGCACAAUGGGCGCAAGCCUGAUGCAGCCAUGCCGCGUGUGUGAAGAAGGCCUUCGGGUUGUAAAGCACUUUCAGCGGGGAGGAAGGCGGUGAGGUUAAUAACCUCAUCGAUUGACGUCACCCGCAGAAGAAGCACCGGCUAACUCCGUGCCAGCAGCCGCGGUAAUACGGAGGGCGCAAGCGUUACUCGAAAUUACUGGGCGUAAAGCGCACGCAGGCGGUCUGUCAAGUCGGAUGUGAAAUCCCCGGGCUCAACCUGGGAACUGCAUUCGAAACUGGCAGGCUAGAGUCUUGUAGAGGGGGGUAGAAUUCCAGGUGUGGCGGUGAAAUGCGUAGAGAUCUGGAGGAAUACCGGUGGCGAAGGCGGCCCCCUGGACAAAGACUGACGCUCAGGUGCGAAAGCGUGGGGAGCAAACAGG